UUUACAUGAUGAAAAACCAACUUUUCAGUUCUGCUUCUGAACCAAAAAUUUCUGAAGAUAACCAAUUACCAAAGCUCAAAUUUCUGACCA
RNAcentral lists this small nucleolar RNA (90 nucleotides) under Sungouiella intermedia. The record is from RNAcentral. Lineage: Eukaryota; Fungi; Ascomycota; Pichiomycetes; Serinales; Metschnikowiaceae.